UGGGGGGAUAUUGCACAAUGGGGGGAAACCCUGAUGCAGCGACGCCGCGUGAGUGAAGAAGUAUUUCGGUAUGUAAAGCUCUAUCAGCAGGAAAGAUAAUGACGGUACCUGACUAAGAAGCACCGGCUAAAUACGUGCCAGCAGCCGCGGUAAUACGUAUGGUGCAAGCGUUAUCCGGAUUUACUGGGUGUAAAGGGAGCGUAGACGGUGGUGCAAGUCUGAAGUGAAAUGUGGGGGCUCAACCCCCAAACUGCUUUGGAAACUGUAUGACUAGAGUGCAGGAGAGGUAAGUGGAAUUCCUAGUGUAGCGGUGAAAUGCGUAGAUAUUAGGAGGAACACCAGUGGCGAAGGCGGCUUACUGGACUGUAACUGACGUUGAGGCUCGAAGGCGUGGGGAGCAAACA
RNAcentral lists this ribosomal RNA (404 nucleotides) under uncultured Clostridium sp. Its description in RNAcentral is "bacterial SSU rRNA". It matches the Rfam family "Bacterial small subunit ribosomal RNA", at positions 354 to 774 of the family's 1533-position model. Lineage: Bacteria; Bacillati; Bacillota; Clostridia; Eubacteriales; Clostridiaceae. The record is from RNAcentral.